Molecule: long non-coding RNA, 2057 nt
Organism: Penaeus indicus
Lineage: Eukaryota; Metazoa; Arthropoda; Malacostraca; Decapoda; Penaeidae
Exons: 3
Source: RefSeq, a predicted model, not a curated record
AGGAUCCCCAUGUGACCUUGCGCUGGCUCUUCCUCAGAUGGGGAUGACACGCCCUCCACUCCCGGUCCCGCCACAUGUCCCGCUCCCGACGCCGCCGCGCCGGAACCCGUUCCUGCUGUUCCCGCUCGCCGCACCUACACCCGGGACUUCCUUGUGAAGUGUGCCGCCUCUCCCCUAAGCCGCCUCACCCCAAACAACUGGUCGCAAGUGGUGCGGCAGUCGCCCUUGGUCCUCAAGAAGAGCUGGCAGUAUCAGGCAGGUGUGGUAGCGACACUGAAUGAACAGGGAGACGCAGCCCUCAAUGCAGUGCCUACAUACCUCCAGGCGAGUGACCUGGAGGAUGCGGCAGCCUUGGCCAAGAGGGAACUGCGCUGGACCCUGGUCAGAACAAUGUCCACCACUGAGGAAGAUGACAAUGGAAACAACAGCACCUCUUAGAAGAAUGGUUGUGACGUUUGUAUAUUAAAUAACAGUGGAAGGAAUUUUAUGAUGUGUUAUUAUUACUAUGUGUUUUUUUGUAAACAGAUAUAUAUGUAUACACUUAAGGUUUAUCAUGUGAAGUUGUCUUUUUGAUAUAUGUUUCUUUGUCUCUGUCUUUUUGUGUCAUUUGGCUUGAUGUCAAAUGCAAAUUUGUUUUUUUUACUGAUCUGUUGAUGUUAGAUAUGUAUUGUAACAGAACUUGCCUUUUUUUUUUAUUGAAUUAUGUACACAAAUGAUCUAAAAUUAAGCUACAUUAUCAAGCCAGAUUUGUAACACACCACUAUAGUCAAUAUAUACCACAGGUUGAGAAUCUGAGUAUAAAAUAAAACAAUUUGAAAUUCUUUGAAUUGUAAGCCCUUAGAAAAUUACCUUCUGCAUAUUCACCACAAAAAUAAACAGCCAUAACUGAUCGUCAUUGGCUGGUUUUCCCCUUGAAUCUCUUGUGUCCGGGCAAUGAAAAGGUUCAGGGAUCCAAUUCAGAGCCUAGUCACAUACUCAGUAUUUCAUAGCUAUUUAUGAGGGAUUUAUAUAAAAUAUAUAUAUUUAUAUCAUGUCCUUUUUUCUGUUUGGUGGAUCUGUUGAAGCUAAUACGAUAUUGGCAAUGGCUGAUUAUGUAUGGUAAAUAAAGGGCUGUUUGUGUAUGGUAAAUAAGAUAUUUUUUUGUUACAAAAUUAGUAUAACAUGUACUGAAACCCAAUAAUGAAUGCUUUUGCAAACUUCCAGCAUUUUGGUUGAUAAUAUUUAUUGACGCAUUGGGUUUUUAGCUUAAGGAUAUUUGAUACAUUUGUUUUAAUGGUGACAAACGUGAUGUUUUUAGAAGCGUAUUCGCCACUAGAAUGAGUUUUGUCUGUAGAAGUUAUACAGUGUAAUGAGUUUCCUUUUUAUUAUUGUCUACAAAAAGAUGUUAAUAACAUCUAUAGAUUUUUAGUUGCUAUGGAUAUGAAAAUCAUAUAUUUAUAUAUACAUAUUUUUCAUAUUCAUGGAGGUAUUUAAAGUUUUUGCAAAAUACAAAGUAGAUGCAUUGGUUCUCGUGUGAACACAAUUUGAUAAGAUUAUACAAAAAUGUGCCUUUUGUAAUCUAUAAGAAUUUUUUUUUUCCUUUUUUUUUUUUUGAAUGGAGAAAAAUUAAUGAAAUCCUCAUGUCUUUAGAUCAAAUGAUGUAACUUUCUAUCAUUAGAAAUUAGUGAUAGUAGUGAGUCGACUAUUAAUGUUUAGAAAAGAAGAAUGUUUCCUAAUGCUUGUACCUUUAGUAUUCUUUUUUUUUGUUUCAUUUUGUUAUUUAGAAACCCCAUUCUUGUUGAUUUCUUUUGUUGAUUUGUCUUAUUUUAUUCUACUAUAUAGAAGAAGUGAAAUUCUCUAUUGCUCUCUUUCUCUUUUUAAUUUAUCACUAAAGAAAAAAAAUAUGCAUUUUUCGUGUAUUAAUUCUCUUGGGUCGAAGGUGUUUAUUCUAGUCUCUUCAGAAGAACUUGUUUAUUUUUGUUAAAACCUUUUUUUGUAGUUUGUUAUUUGUUAUUAGUAGGAAUGCUCCCAUAUUCACUAUACUUUAUAAUCGACAACGAAUAAAGGAUAAGUUACUA